RNAcentral lists this ribosomal RNA (400 nucleotides) under uncultured Lachnospiraceae bacterium. RNAcentral's name for it is "bacterial SSU rRNA". It matches the Rfam family "Bacterial small subunit ribosomal RNA", at positions 355 to 774 of the family's 1533-position model. Lineage: Bacteria; Bacillati; Bacillota; Clostridia; Lachnospirales; Lachnospiraceae. The record is from RNAcentral.
UAGGGAAUAUUGCACAAUGGGGAACCGGUAGCAUGCAGCGACGCCGCGUGAAGGAAGAAGUAUCUCGGUAUGUAAACUUCUAUCAGCAGGGAAGACAAUGACGGUACCUGACUAAGAAGCCCCGGCUAACUACGUGCCAGCAGCGCGGUAAUACGUAGGGGCAGCGGUUAUCCGGAUUUACUGGGUGUAAAGGGAGCGUAGACGGAUCUGCAAGUCUGGAGUGAAAGCCCGGGGCUCAACCCCGGACUGCUUUGGAAACUGUGGAUCUAGAGUGCCGGAGAGGUAAGCGGAAUUCCUAGUGUAGCGGUGAAAUGCGUAGAUAUUAGGAGGAACACCAGUGGCGAAGGCGGCUUACUGGACGGUAACUGACGUUGAGGCUCGAAAGCGUGGGGAGCAAACA